This 132-nucleotide small nuclear RNA is filed under the name Nomascus leucogenys (northern white-cheeked gibbon). RNAcentral's name for it is "U4 spliceosomal RNA". It matches the Rfam family "U4 spliceosomal RNA". Rfam says of the family: U4 small nuclear RNA (U4 snRNA) is a component of the major U2-dependent spliceosome. The structure of U4 snRNA from yeast and human has been reported. Lineage: Eukaryota; Metazoa; Chordata; Mammalia; Primates; Hylobatidae. The record is from Rfam by way of RNAcentral.
AGCUUUGCGCAGUGGCAGUAUUGUAGCCAAUGAGGUCUAUCCAAGGCGCGAUUAUUGCUAACUGAAAACUUUUCCCAAAAAAAAGUAAUAAUAACAAGUGGGGUUGGUGGUACAUGCCUGUAGUCCCAGCUA